AUGCAGGGAGGGGAGGAUAAAAUCCUCUGGACCCUCACCGCGGAUCAUAAAUUCUCUGUGGGAUCCUUGUAUAGGAAAUUGGUAGCUUCUGGGAUGAAAUUCUCACAGAAAUACUUAUGGAAGAUUAAAGUGCCUGCUAAACUGAAAGUGUUCCUAUGGUUGAUUAAUAAAAAAAGCAUAUUAACUAGAGAUGUACUGCUUAAAAAGGGAUGGAAGGGCGAGAAAAGAUGUGUCUUGUGUGGGAAAGAUGAAUCAAUUGAUCAUCUAUUCUUUUCUUGCUCGGUUGCUUCUUUGUUAUGGAGUUUGGUCAGAUGUGUGUGUGGUUUUAAAACUGUGCCGUCUAGUGUGAAAGACUGUUUUGGAGACUGGAUUAGGAAAUUUAACAAAGAUGAUAAGAAACUGGUGCUGGUGGGGAUUUCAGCCCUGCUUUGGUCAAUUUGGAAAAGUAGAAAUGCAAUUAUCUUUGAGAAUAAAAGGAUAAAUGAUCCUUUAUAUGUUGUCAAGCUAAUGUGCAGGUGGUUAAUUGACUGGUCUAUUAUGCAGAUAAAGGAGCCACCAAGAAAAGCGUUGGAGCUGGGAGCAAGGGUGCUAGAGCAGGCAGCAAAUGAAGUGUUCACAGCCAAGCAGGGAUGGAGGAUCAAUGUGGCUAGAUUGGAAUGA
Molecule: ribosomal RNA, 660 nt
Filed under: Triticum aestivum (bread wheat)
Lineage: Eukaryota; Viridiplantae; Streptophyta; Magnoliopsida; Poales; Poaceae
Description: partial small subunit ribosomal RNA
Source: RNAcentral